This 253-nucleotide ribosomal RNA is filed under the name uncultured bacterium. Its description in RNAcentral is "partial 16S ribosomal RNA". It matches the Rfam family "Bacterial small subunit ribosomal RNA", at positions 524 to 776 of the family's 1533-position model. The record is from RNAcentral.
UACGUAGGGGGCUAGCGUUGUCCGGAUUUAUUGGGCGUAAAGAGCGUGUAGGCGGCCAGGUAGGUCCGUUGUGAAAGCUCGGGGCUCAACCCCGAGUCGGCCGUGCGAACUGCUGGGCUUGAGCACUGUAGAGGCAGGCGGAAUUCCGGGUGUAGCGGUGGAAUGCGUAGAGAUCCGGAAGAACACCGGUGGCGAAGGCGGCCUGCUGGGCAGUGGCUGACACUGAGGCGCGACAGCGUGGGGAGCAAACAGG